RNAcentral lists this long non-coding RNA (4337 nucleotides) under Salvia miltiorrhiza (redroot sage). RNAcentral describes it as "long non-coding RNA (SMIL_LNC002169)". Lineage: Eukaryota; Viridiplantae; Streptophyta; Magnoliopsida; Lamiales; Lamiaceae. The record is from RNAcentral.
UCGUCGUCUCCCUCAGUUCUUGGUGGCGCCAAUGUAGAACCUGAGCCCGAUGCCAUCUCUUAACUUGCCGCCGCUUGAGGGAUGCUGCGCUUCCGUCCAUCGCCUCGGGGUGCGAUUUCCGGCGAGACUGCCGUGUCUGGAUUUCAUUCGCCACCGUUGGCAGAUUCCGAGAAUCGGCGAAGUCGCCACAGCUCUGGUUCAGUGCGUCGUCAUUCCCGAUUUAGAGCUGGCAGUAGUCUCCCCCCUCCAACCUAAAGCUAAGUUUUAAACUUGCUUCUUCUUCUUUUCAUUGCAAUGAAGUAUCGAUACACAUAGAGGCUUAUUCGAGCAAGAGAAGUCAGAGCUUAAUUGUUCUAAAAGUGAGCAUGUUGUGGUUGUAUUUGUUCGUCUAUCAGUAAUAGUGGUGAGUUAAAGUGUUCCCCAUAUUCUGUGUCUGUGGAGUCUAUUGUUGUUCAUCGAAUACAUGAAUCAGAUGUAACAUAUCUCUAUAUCCCUAGAGUAAAGGCAGUGUAGUCUGCUGUUGCUACAUAAACUUAUGUGAAUAACUAAUCAUGCUCAUCUCCGAUUAGCAGCAUUCAUUAAAAAAAUCAUGCUAUGAUGAUGCGUGAAGCAUGUACAUGGAGAUAGUGAACUGGGAUAACGUAUAAUACCUUGAGGAUAUGGAUGUGGUGGCUGUUUGCUGCUGUGUUGAAUUAAAUGCAGGGGAUGGAAAUUGAAAUAGAGUAAUCUUGGUAACUACCUUAAUGAAUGAAGGUGAAAUUGUGGCAGGGAGUAUUAAAGUUCAAGGUGAAGCUUACCUCGAAAUAGCUUGGUGUUGGUUAUAUUAUCUGCUGCUGUAGUUGACUGAUCUUAAUUGGGGGUAACUGAAACAUAACAGUGGUUAUUCUUGCAUUAAUGCAGGUGAAAUCUUGGAGGAGUUGAAGAGAGUUAAAGAAGUUUACCUCAUUGGCAGAGAUGGAUGAAUGAUUUCCUCUCUUCUUCACGUGAGCUGUUAGAGUAUAAUGGAGAAGGAGUGUUAGGAGGUUGUUUGCUGAAAUGAUAGGUAAAAAGGGUUGAAGGCUGGCUGGAGCUUGAGUACCUACUAAAUGGUAGGGUGGCUGAUGUGAGUCCUAUGUGUACCUUGGGUAUGGCUGUUGUGGCAGAGGUGGAGUGCUUACUGCUGUUGCAGUUGCUGCAGAAAAUGGGGAGGGGACGCAACUGAUCUUAUUCUCCCCUCUCCCUUUAUUACUCCUUCCGUCCACCAAAAAAACUCCCAGUUGGAGUUCGGCAUGGAGACUAAAAUAGCUGAAAAAGGUGGUGUAAAAGACUAAAAGGAUAGUGUUUAUGUAUUGUGAUUACUUUUACUAAUCUUCCACUAACUAUUUGAUAAUAAUAAUAAUAAUAACAACAAUAAUAAUAAUAAUAACAAUAACAAUAACAAUAAUAAUAAUAAGGAUAAUAAUAAUAAUAAUAAUAACAAUAAUAAUAACAAUAACAAUAACAAUAAUAAGAAUAAGAAUAAUAAUAAUAACAAUAAUAAUAAUAAUAAUAACAACAAUAAUAAUAAUAAUAAUAAUAAUAAUAAUAAUAAUAAUAAUAACAACAACAAAAACAACAACAAUAAUAAUAAUCAUAAUAAUAAUAACAAUAACAAUAUUAUAAUAAUAAUAAUAAUAAUAAUAAUAAUAAUAACAACAAUAAUAAGAAUAAUAAGAAUAAGAAUAACAAUAAUAAGGAUAAUAAUAAGGAUAACGAUAAUAAUAAUAAUAAUAAUAACAAUAAUAAUAAUAAUAACAAUAACAAUAAUAAUAAUAAUAAUAAUAGUCGUAAAAAUAAUAAUAAUAAUAAUAAUAAUAAUAAUAAUAAUAAUAACAACAACAAUAACAAUAACAAUAAGGAUAAUAACAAUAAUUAAUUAAAUGAGAUUUUAUUAAAAAAGAGAAGAAAAAACAGACCUAAAACCCUUGAGAACACAGAGGAGUUAACUAAGGGCCGAGCCUCAUUAAAACCCUUUUAAGGCAAACCCAAACGGGAAAAUCCUUAAAAGGGAAAAAGAGUGCUCGUCUAGAAAAGACUGCGAGGGAGCGGAGAAGAGACAGCUUCAGAAGUUCCGGCCUAACCAUCACCCCUAAGCCGCUCGGCUCCCAAACGCAGCGAAAGCAAACAAACAAAAACGAAAAAAACAACAAAAAAACCCAGCAAAAGAGACAGAAAAAACCACACCGUUCCUCCAAACGAAAAAAACCAACGAAGCCCAAGAGAACUGGCCUAUCAAAACACGAAAACAGAGGGCCACCCAAACCCAGCAGAACAAUCCAGCCGUUCUUCAAGCAAAACGAACUCGGACGCAGAGUACGGCGACCCCGGCCGCGAACACCUGCUCUCAUGCCCAUUCUAGAACGCUCCUUGCAACAAGGAAGUCCAACGACAAACCUAGGAGAAAGAAAGUGAUAGAACACCAAGACUACCGUUCAUCAACGACCCAAACAACGGAGCCAUAAAAACUCGACGCCGACGCAACAACAACAACGCCGCGGAGCUUCCCAGACGAACCAAAACUCACAGCCCCAGUUCCGAGCUCACCCGGAAGCUGAAAAAAGGCCCUGAUCUUGGUCCCUAACCAACACCAACGACAAUCCAGCAAAAAACCCGCACAAAGAAACCAAUAAGUAAUAGGAACCCAAAGCGCCGACCAGAUGUUUGUGAAAAAUCCAAGCUUGUCAAAACAUAAAAGAUGCGGUCCCUCCAAGCAAAGACGCCAUCCCAGGAGGGAAUCAGCAUGAUUAUCAAAAGAAAAGGGUGAUAGAACACCAUGGCUCCCGUUCAUCAACGACCCGAACAACAGGACCAAAAACUCAACGCCGACGCAUCUGCUAGCAACGUCGCGGAGCUUCCAAAACGAACCAAAACUCAUAGCCCCAGCUCCGAGCUCACCCGGAAACUGAAAAAAGGCUAAGAGAUUAGUCCCUAAACCCCCGCCCCUGUCAAACCAUCUCAUACCCGCACAGAACUCCCAUCUUCUAUCAAACAACCAGAACGCAUACCAGGUGUUUGUGAAAGAGUCCAGGCAGCCAACGAGCAAGUAUAGCUUCUGCCACAUCCAAAGCCCAAUCAUCCGCGAAUGCGUAUAUGGCUGUGAGUGGCCAUGUCCGUCCUGACCGCUUUUUUGAUGGCCUCGACCUCGUGCGGCCACCACCCCUCCAUCAUGUUUUGAUUGGCCAUAAUGUCCGCAGGUUUGUUGCCUUCACGAUAGAUAUGCGUAACUUGAAGAUUAAAAUUUUGUAACAGACCAAGAGUAUACUUCCAAGAAGCAAAAAAACGCCAAGGCACGUUAGAAGAUCGAGAAUUCAAAACUUAUGUGAAUAACUAAUCAUGCUCAUCUCCGAUUAGCAGCAUUCAUUAAAAAAAUCAUGCUAUGAUGAUGCGUGAAGCAUGUACAUGGAGAUAGUGAACUGGGAUAACGUAUAAUACCUUGAGGAUAUGGAUGUGGUGGCUGUUUGCUGCUGUGUUGAAUUAAAUGCAGGGGAUGGAAAUUGAAAUAGAGUAAUCUUGGUAACUACCUUAAUGAAUGAAGGUGAAAUUGUGGCAGGGAGUAUUAAAGUUCAAGGUGAAGCUUACCUCGAAAUAGCUUGGUGUUGGUUAUAUUAUCUGCUGCUGUAGUUGACUGAUCUUAAUUGGGGGUAACUGAAACAUAACAGUGGUUAUUCUUGCAUUAAUGCAGGUGAAAUCUUGGAGGAGUUGAAGAGAGUUAAAGAAGUUUACCUCAUUGGCAGAGAUGGAUGAAUGAUUUCCUCUCUUCUUCACGUGAGCUGUUAGAGUAUAAUGGAGAAGGAGUGUUAGGAGGUUGUUUGCUGAAAUGAUAGGUAAAAAGGGUUGAAGGCUGGCUGGAGCUUGAGUACCUACUAAAUGGUAGGGUGGCUGAUGUCGAGUCCCUAUGUGUACCUUGGGGUAUGGCUGUUGUGGCAGAGGUGGAGUGCUUACUGCUGUUGCAGUUGCUGCAGAAAAUGGGGAGGGGACGCAACUGAUCUUAUUCUCCCCUCUCCCUUUAUUACUCCUUCCGUCCACCAAAAAAACUCCCAGUUGGAGUUCGGCAUGGAGACUAAAAAUAGCUGAAAAAGGUGGUGUAAAAGACUAAAAGGAUAGUGUUUAUGUAUUGUGAUUACUUUUACUAAUCUUCCACUAACUAUUUGAUAAUAAUAAUAAUAAUAACAACAACAAUAAUAAUAAUAACAACAAUAAUAAUAAUAAUAACAAUAACAAUAACAAUAAUAAUAAUAAGGAUAAUAAUAAUAAUAAUAAUAACAAUAAUAAUAACAAUAACAAUAACAAUAAUAAGAAUAAGAAUAAUAAUAAUAACA